Molecule: ribosomal RNA, 449 nt
Filed under: uncultured bacterium
Lineage: Bacteria
Description: partial 16S ribosomal RNA
Rfam family: Bacterial small subunit ribosomal RNA
Source: RNAcentral
AGCGAACGCUGGCGGCAGGCCUAACACAUGCAAGUCGAACGGAUCCUUCGGGAUUAGAGGCGGACGGGUGAGCAACACGUGGGAACGUGCCCUUUGGUUCGGAACAACUCAGGGAAACUUGAGCUAAUACCGGAUGUGCCCUUCGGGGGAAAGAUUUAUCGCCAUUGGAGCGGCCCGCGUCUGAUUGGCUAGUUGGUGAGGUAAAGGCUCACCAAGGCGACGAGCAGCAGAUGGGCUGUGAGGAUGAUCAGCCACAUUGGGACUGAGAGACGGCCCCAACGCCUACGAGAGGCGGCAGUGGCGAAGCGUGCGCAAUGGGCGAAAGCCUGACGCAGCCAUGCCGCGGGAAUGAUGAAGGUCUUAGGAUUGUAAAAUUCUUUAACCGGGGACGAUAAUGACGGUACCCGGCGCAGAAGCCCCGGCUAACUUCGUGCCAGCAGCCGCGGUAA